RNAcentral lists this ribosomal RNA (594 nucleotides) under Dacrila fallax. RNAcentral's name for it is "partial 16S ribosomal RNA". It matches the Rfam family "Bacterial large subunit ribosomal RNA", at positions 1923 to 2737 of the family's 2925-position model. Lineage: Eukaryota; Metazoa; Arthropoda; Insecta; Coleoptera; Staphylinidae. The record is from RNAcentral.
UUUAAUGGCCGCAGUAUUCUGACUGUGCAAAGGUAGCAUAAUCAUUAGUUUCUUAAUUAGAAACUGGAAUGAAUGGUUGGACGAGAAAAUAACUGUCUCUGUAUAAAUUUUUUAGAAUUUUAUUUUUAAGUUAAAAAGCUUAAAUUUAUUUAAAAGACGAGAAGACCCUAUAGAGUUUUAUAUAUUUUUUAAAAAUAAUAUUUUUAGAAUAUAAUUAGUUAUAUUUUUUUAAAAUAAUAUAUUUAAUUGGGGUGAUUAAAAAAUUUAAUAAACUUUUUUUUUAAUAUAACAUUUAUUUAUGAAUUAUUGAUCCAUUAAAAUGAUUAUAAGAUUAAAUUACCUUAGGGAUAACAGCGUAAUUUCUUUGAAGAGUUCAAAUCGAUAAAGGAGUUUGCGACCUCGAUGUUGGAUUAAAAUUUAAUUUUGGUGUAGAAGCUAAAAAAUUUAGGUCUGUUCGACCUUUAAAAUUUUACAUGAUCUGAGUUUAAACCGGUGUGAGCCAGGUUGGUUUCUAUCUUUAAAAAAUUUUAAUAUUUUAGUACGAAAGGACCAAAUAUUAGUAAAAUUUUAUUUUAUUAUGAUUAUUAUUAAUUA